Molecule: small RNA, 70 nt
Filed under: Podarcis lilfordi (Lilford's wall lizard)
Lineage: Eukaryota; Metazoa; Chordata; Lepidosauria; Squamata; Lacertidae
Source: RNAcentral
ACAGCUUCUUGGCCUUUUGGCUAAGAUCAAGUGUAGUACCUUUCACAAAUGAGUCUGGACUCAAGCCUUU